RNAcentral lists this ribosomal RNA (467 nucleotides) under uncultured Anaerolineaceae bacterium. RNAcentral's name for it is "bacterial SSU rRNA". It matches the Rfam family "Bacterial small subunit ribosomal RNA", at positions 900 to 1382 of the family's 1533-position model. Lineage: Bacteria; Bacillati; Chloroflexota; Anaerolineae; Anaerolineales; Anaerolineaceae. The record is from RNAcentral.
CUUAAAUGAAUUGACGGGACCGCACAAGCAGCGGAGCGUGUGGUUUAAUUCGUUGCUACACGAAGAACCUUACCUGGGUUUGACAUAUAAGUUGUAGGGAACUGAAAAGGGACCGACCCUUCGGGGAGCUUAUACAGGUGUUGCAUGGCUGUCGUCAGCUCGUGUCGUGAGAUGUUCGGUUAAGUCCGCUAACGAGCGCAACCCUCGCCGUAUGUUACAAGUGUCAUACGGGACUGCCGGUAAAAAGCCGGAGGAAGGUGAGGAUGAUGUCAAGUCAGCAUGACCUUUAUAUCCAGGGCUACACACACGCUACAAUGGUCUGUACAAUUGGUUGCCAAGCCGCGAGGCGGAGCCAAUCCGUAAAGCAGGCCUCAGUUCAGAUUGCAGUCUGCAACUCGACUGCAUGAAGCCGGAGUUGCUAGUAACCGCAGGUCAGCAAUACUGCGGUGAAUACGUUCCCGGGUCUU